CAGUACCGUUCCAAGCUCCGUGGGGGAACAGGUAACAAAUAUAUACAAAAUAGAAUUCAAAUUUCAAAGAUUGUUUGUUACAACAUAACAAGGGUACAAAGCAAACAGACAAUGACACUUUAGAAAACGAAGAAGAAGACGAGGAAGGAAGGAGCAAAGGCAUGGGAAAACAGAAAAAAGAAGGAAGGGAAUCAGAUAAUGAAAUAGUACAAAACGAAGAAAAAGACGAGGAAGGAUGGGAAAAAGAAAUGAAAAACGGGUAACAAAUAUAUACCAGAAUAAACAUACUAGUUUGAAACAUUCUUUUUUAUAAUAGAAAGAGGAAAGAAGGCAUCCGUCGACUGACGCUUCCGAGGCCAGCGAGACGGCUGCUGCUGAGGCUGAAUCGUAUGAAAUCACGGUCAAAGCGAAUCGAUCAUUCGCGGACAGAAUCGGGGCGGUUACGCGUUCAAAAUUGGCAAUUGAAAAUAGAGAUCCUAAAUUGGCACAAUUGCCUCAUGUAAAAAUAAGCCGUCUGCUGUCAUCUAUUGCUCACCAGGAAAAAAGAACAGAAACAGGAAGAGGAGAAGGAAAAGGAGCAGGAAGAGGAACAGGAAGAGGAUCAGGAAGAGGAUCAGUAUCAGGUUCAGGAACAGGUUUAGGAACAGGAACAUGUACAGGAAGAGGGAGAGGGAGAGGGAGAGGAACAGGAACAGGAACAAGAACAGGAAAAGGAAGAGGAAUAAGAACAGGAACAGAAACAGAAACGGGAACAAGACGAGUAGGAAGACCACGAAAAGAAGAAAAACGUUUGUUGAAGCAGUAAAAUUAACAUUGUGCGUACUUUUUGUGUAUGUUUAAAAAUAACUGGCAGUAACCUAGUCCUUAUUUUGAUAUUAAUCCGGUCAGGCAAGAGGAAUACAACGAAUUCAGAAGCAGAA
Molecule: long non-coding RNA, 920 nt
Filed under: Daphnia magna
Lineage: Eukaryota; Metazoa; Arthropoda; Branchiopoda; Diplostraca; Daphniidae
Description: uncharacterized LOC123467993
Source: RNAcentral